GUGCUUGCUUUGGCAGCACAUAUACUAAAAUUGGAAUGAUACAGAGAAGAUAAGCCCCUGCGCAAGGAUGACAUGCAGAUUCAUGAAGCAUUCCAUAUUUUU
RNAcentral lists this small nuclear RNA (102 nucleotides) under Mus spicilegus (steppe mouse). The record is from RNAcentral. Lineage: Eukaryota; Metazoa; Chordata; Mammalia; Rodentia; Muridae.